RNAcentral lists this ribosomal RNA (864 nucleotides) under Microbacterium maritypicum. RNAcentral describes it as "bacterial SSU rRNA". It matches the Rfam family "Bacterial small subunit ribosomal RNA", at positions 71 to 946 of the family's 1533-position model. Lineage: Bacteria; Bacillati; Actinomycetota; Actinomycetes; Micrococcales; Microbacteriaceae. The record is from RNAcentral.
ACAGCGAGCUUGCUCUGUGGGAUCAGUGGCGAACGGGUGAGUAACACGUGAGCAACCUGCCCCUGACUCUGGGAUAAGCGCUGGAAACGGCGUCUAAUACUGGAUAUGUGACGUGACCGCAUGGUCUGCGUCUGGAAAGAAUUUCGGUUGGGGAUGGGCUCGCGGCCUAUCAGCUUGUUGGUGAGGUAAUGGCUCACCAAGGCGUCGACGGGUAGCCGGCCUGAGAGGGUGACCGGCCACACUGGGACUGAGACACGGCCCAGACUCCUACGGGAGGCAGCAGUGGGGAAUAUUGCACAAUGGGCGCAAGCCUGAUGCAGCAACGCCGCGUGAGGGACGACGGCCUUCGGGUUGUAAACCUCUUUUAGCAGGGAAGAAGCGAAAGUGACGGUACCUGCAGAAAAAGCGCCGGCUAACUACGUGCCAGCAGCCGCGGUAAUACGUAGGGCGCAAGCGUUAUCCGGAAUUAUUGGGCGUAAAGAGCUCGUAGGCGGUUUGUCGCGUCUGCUGUGAAAUCCGGAGGCUCAACCUCCGGCCUGCAGUGGGUACGGGCAGACUAGAGUGCGGUAGGGGAGAUUGGAAUUCCUGGUGUAGCGGUGGAAUGCGCAGAUAUCAGGAGGAACACCGAUGGCGAAGGCAGAUCUCUGGGCCGUAACUGACGCUGAGGAGCGAAAGGGUGGGGAGCAAACAGGCUUAGAUACCCUGGUAGUCCACCCCGUAACGUUGGGAACUAGUUGUGGGGUCCAUUCCACGGAUUCCGUGACGCAGCUAACGCAUUAAGGUUCCCCGCCUGGGGAGUACGGCCGCAAGGCUAAAACUCAAAGGAAUUGACGGGGACCCGCACAAGCGGCGGAGCAUGCCGGA